RNAcentral lists this long non-coding RNA (1768 nucleotides) under Cyanoderma ruficeps (rufous-capped babbler). RNAcentral's name for it is "lncRNA (ENSCRFG00000014908.1)". The record is from RNAcentral. Lineage: Eukaryota; Metazoa; Chordata; Aves; Passeriformes; Timaliidae.
CUCCGAACUCCUCCUAGGAUAAUACAAUUUUAGGCUCUGCAGUAUCUAUAUAAAACAGUGUGGUAAUGUUGUGUUUAUUCUUGUCGGUCUUUUAGGAAGGUAGAGAAUGAUGAACCGUGGCUUAAAAACCCCAUCAGAAAUUCCCAUUCACAAAUACUUAGGCAGCUUUUAAUUUCAACAGCUCUUAGUUUUGCAACACAGUAGUGUCAGUGAGAGAUGGUCAUGUAAUUUCUCUUGCCGCAUAGAUCUUUCAGCCUAGAAAACUAUAUUUAGGAGGGCUGUUCUUCACGCUCUUCGCCUCAGACCUGUCACAUACUCAUCUGACUGCUCUGAGCUUCACGGGAGAGGUCCUAAGUGUUUGUCACUCCCCAAGCCUCUUCCGCACAACCUAACGCCUCGGAGCAGGAUGGAGAUGUCUCCAGAGAAACACUGCGUGGAAACGCCACUCGGCAUCCUCUCCCUCACUCUCUAGAACUCAUUACUAGCCGCUGCUUCACGAGGUGGCCUGGCCCUGAGGUAAAUGGCCCGGCCCGAGAUACGCUCCUGGCCCCGAGGUAAAUAGCCCGGCCCCGAGGUAGGGUCCCGGCCCGGCGCUGGGGUGAAGGGGGGCAGAGCCCGGCAGUCGCCCCGACAGACGCUCCCCAGAGCCCUCCCGGCGCCCUGCGCACCCCUGCGCGCUUCGGAGGCGGCAGCCGCAGCCGAGCGCAGCGCAGCGCUCCCGCCGCAAAGGGAGGGAGCGGGCAGGACGCGGGCGCGGUGGCGCAGGCAUUGCCGACAUCGCCGGCAGUGCAGGCAUCGCCGGCAUCGCCCUGCUUGCAGAGCCUCUCCUCCGCUGGCUCCGCGGGCAGGAGCCUCGCGGCAGCGCGGGCCCCGGUUGCAGAGCCUCCCCUCUGGCUCCGCGGGGAGGAGGCGCCCCUUGCCCGGGGCUGCGGGACCGAGGCGGCCGCCGCCCCUUUAAGCUCCAGCUGUUCCUUUCUGCCGCGCCUAUUUUUAGCGCGUCCUCUUGGUAGCAUCCAGCUCUGCCCCCUGUUUCUGCGCGCUCCCCCGUCCCCCCCCGGUGGUAGGUUCCGCACGGCGGGGGGACUGAGCAUGUCCGAACGCGCUCGGCAGCGGCCGCCGCGCCGGGGCUGCGCUCGCUCGCAGGGCGGGAAGGAGGGCGCGGGCGCCGCCGCCGCCCGCAAUUUUGUGUUUUUAGGCAUUAUCUUGCACGUCAUCAUGCUACUACAUGCUGCCUUCCCUACUGAGAAACUAUUACAGCACGCUGGACAAUAAAGGCUGCCUGCUGUGAUGAACGCUGGCUACCCAAGGGCAAUGACAUCCCUCCUGACUUCCCUUCUGAGCUGCUGACUGUGCCUCCCAGCAGACCUAUAUGAAAGAUCCUAAGAAUAAACUGAUCCUCAGUUUUGUUAUUUAUUCUUAGCUGGUGAAAUAAAUUUAAAGAAUCUUUAAAAAAGGGAAAGUGUUACAGUUUAUUGUUGUGUACAAAGUAACCAACUAACAAAAUUCAUUUUGUUAACAGGCAGAAAGAACUGCAAGUUAGCACAAAUGGAGGAAAAAUGGUUUUUAGUCAUCUCUAUACAGCUUGGUGACUUUAUUUUUAAUUUUUAUUUUUUUCUCAAGGCUUCAAAAAAAUGUAUUUCAACAUCUGACUUAUUAUGGUUGUUCCAAGCUGCUCAUAAAUAAAGCUGAUCAAGAUUUAUUGAUCAGAUUUUGAUUUCGCCUCUCAGACAAAAUAAACCCAAGAAUGCCGCAUUUAUAUGCUUGUAGG